CCAUUGCAUACCACCAGGAAAAGAGCACUUGUCCUAGCUCUCUGUGUGCUACUCGUGUAAGGCCCCCGAGGAACAAAACAUCUAGCAUGGAAGAGAUCAGCUCCAACAUGGUUCAAAGGUCUCAGACCCAAGGUAAGUAUAAGAGGAGGUGUUCAAACAAAAGGAAUAAGGCUGGUUUAACAGUAGAAAGUAUAACAACUAGAGUGAUUCUUAUUAAGUGGAAUAUUACUAGCUAGAAUAUUCUAGUGCCUUAUCUUCUAUGCCCUCCCACAACCAAAACCACUUUCCCAAUUAGCAGGCCUCAUCCCUACCUUGGAACACAGCAGUUUAGAUCACACAGGUGCCUCAGCACCUUGAACUUAUUCCAAUAGAGGGGGACAGCUCCUAUUCCAUAGUCCAGCUUUUACCUAAAGGCUAAAGCAGGGGAAAUAUUUUCUGGACACCUGCCAAUAAAGAUAAUGGCUUCAUUCUGCUAAAGCAGAGUUCAUGCUGGUACUGAUAAAAAAAGAUCUGCAGGAACACCCAGCAAAUGCUUACGCAAUUAGUGAAAGGCCUUGACAGGCAGAAGAUUGUGACAAAGGCUUAAUCCAAGAUAUUUUUUUUCAGGUGGUAUCCCUAUUUUUAUCCUGCUGCCCUGUGAGAUAGCUGCCUGAAGGACACCUCAUGAGCAUGAGACUCUUAAGCCCAUGGUUCUGCGUUCAAGCCCGACAUUGGGCAAAAAUAGUACUGUAUUGCAGGGGGUUAGGCCCUUCCAACGCUACAAUUUUAUGAUGUGUAUUUGUAUGGGGCACUGAUGAAAAUCAAUUGUUUUUCUGGAACUCCAUAACUUUUGUCUCAGGUUUACACACCCUGUGUUUAGCUUAAACUUUGGCUACAAAGGAAAGUGUGCUACCUUUAAAGAGAAGAAUACAGUAAUUCCCAUGGAUUCAAGAGAGUAAUUGCUUGCACUGAAGUAUAAUUUAGAGCAAAUACUUUGAAGACCUCAUUUCCUUACUCUUCUAUUUUACGUUAGGCAUAAAACACAUAUGAGUAAUGCACAGUUUGAAGAUUAAAAUACAGCAACCUCUUCCUCCUCGUGCAAGGAGCUGAGUUUCAGUCUCAGUAUCUUAACGCACACCUUUAAAGACAAAGUACAUGUUGAUCUUUCUUCCUUUUGGUUUCUCUCUAGGUGCACAGGCUUGUAUUUUAUAUAGAAAUCAUGAUACCAAAGAGAUGCCUCUGCAGCAAGAUUAAUAGAUAUGAAUUAUUUUCUACCCUUUUCAGGUUUCACUAACUGCUCAUUUCUUGAGGUAGUGUUUAUUUCUCAUAGGUUUCCUCAAUUAGAUUUAUGAUUACCGGUAACACUUUUCAACCCUAUUCAAACAGUACUAUUUCUUUCCAUCUUACAAUAAGGUAAUUACCAUAUAACUUACUCACUCCGUCUUCUUUAAACCAUUGUUCUUAUAAUCUGACUGAGAUACAGACUUAUUUAUAUCUCAAUUUCAUUAAAAAUAUAAAAGCAGUUUACAACAAUCAAAAUACACUUGAUCUUAGCCCAAAGGCUGAGAAGUGAUACAAUAACAAUACAAACUUUAAAACAGAUCACAAGAUAGAACCUUAAUGUCUGCAUAAGCUUGUUGGCAAAAAGAUCAGGCAAACUAGAGCAAAAGUAACAAAGAGAGUCUGAUUAUGCCAGUCGCAAAUGGUUGUUUGAAUUCAUUCUGUGUUGUGUGUAUUGAACAACUGGUAUUCAUCACUCACUACCCUUUAGGUGCAGAGGAUUUGUUUUCUGAGGCAUGCGUUAUCACAAAGUGUCUUACUUUGCUGCAUGUUUUCAGCUGCUGCCUGCUGUUGUUGUUAAUGCUGUGGUCCUAUUGUACAUUUCAGUGCAUUAACUUUUUCACCACCAUUACAUUAUCACCAUUAUAUUAAUAAAGUUCUGUCUAUGUGCAUGGCACUUUACAAAAAGGCAACAACAGAUAUGCUAGAUCACUAGGUUCCCCCUACCCCAAGGGACUCCCAGUUUAUAAUAGCUAGGGAAAUGGAAGGGGGAAAUGGAAGCAAGAGAAAAAUAUGUAAUUAUUUCAAUUACACAUUCUUUGGUUUAAUAACAAUAAGAUAUAGGUAGGACUAAGGGAAUUAGGGAGCAGCAAAUCCAGUGGGAACGGGAGAAGGGAAGCAUUGGGAAUGAGGAGGAAGAGUGAAUUUUUGAAUUAGAGAUUAGGAGAGAGGGGAAAUGCCAUAAUGUUCAAAACAGGUGAAUCAGGCAGUUGCUGGUGUUCUUGAGGUGGGAGGAGCCACAGAGCAACCACCUAGUGUCACACCCAAGCUGUCCUGAUCCAUCUAGGUGCACAGGGAUUCUUCAGGCAUAGACACAGUUGCUAGAAUUAAGAUGGGGGGAGGCACCCACAAUGGAAAAGACCCUCCCAUACAAUCCUACUAGCCAUAUCUUAGGAGGCAAAGGUAUACACAAAAGGAUAUCAAGACAUUAGCUCACACAGAGAGAGAGAAACCAACCAGAUUUACAUCUGAAAUGUCCAGUGGCCAAUUGCAGGAAACUGCAGCAUGCAUACAUAAUGGCAGACUCUGUUCAGACAAGGUGCAGCACGCUAUUAUUUUCACAUUCAUGCCUCUAUUAAGGAUCAUGGAAGAGCUACAGUUUAAAGUACCACUAAAUGCACAUGCAGCAUAUACUUAAUCUGGGCUGUCUUCAGCUGGUUACUACACCACAUCUAUGUGUAGCAGUGAUUCCUUGUACCCACUUUGUAUGCUAGAGCAUACAUUACAUGGAAGUACACGUAAUGGGUACUUAAGGAUCACUUAGCAGGUUAGAAAUACAUGUGAAAAACAUUGUUAUGUGCUUCAACUCCUUUUGUAGCUUGGGGGGGGAUUACAAUUUAUACACAUGUAUUUGGGAAGAAAAUGUGCUAUGUCUGAUAGUACAAUCUUAUACAUGUCUUCAGAAAUAAAGCCACUGAUUUACACUCCAUACAUUUAAAGCACAUUUCCCCUGGCCAAAAAAUAAUAAUCUUGGGAACGGUAGUUUAAGGGUGAUCAAAACUGUAGUUCUGUGAGGGGUAAACUACUGUUCCCAGGAAUCUUGGGGGGAAUUCAUCUGUUGUGCUGAAGGGAGAGGAGAGAAGAGGGGGGAGGUAAAACUCCAUCGUGUUUUAGCUAGCUCCAGCUAACAAUUGUUUCAGCUAUGCAAGAUAGCUCUGCGGGCUGGCAGUGGGUUUCCUGUCUGGCCUCCUACAUAGCUGAAGUUGAAGAGGCUCAGCUCUGCAGACCGGUAGUGGUUUUCCUGUCUGACUUCUCACCUCAGCUGUGCAAAGAUGCAAACACAUAAUGCAAAGCAAACAAUAUGCAAAGGUGGGGGAGGAGGGCUUAGCUAGCCUAAUAAGGUAAUAAAGUGUAUCUCUGCCUGUUGAUUGGGGAGCAACUGGGGGCCAAGCUUGCAGCUUCAGUAUAAGAAUGCUUGGAAGACAAUAGGGGCGCGGCCAGUCUUUGGAAGCUAUUCCACUGGCUGUCUCUGUACAGAUUCUGCAAUAAACCUUUUUCUCUGUGAAACCCACCCUGGUGUUUGCUUGACUCCUUCAUGCUAACGGCAAGGGCACGAGGUGACUGGAUCCGGACCCCUUAGGUUCAGAUAUCCUAACAGUGCAAAGGCCGGAAGGCUUAUCUGCAUCAGAAACUGGUUUAAGUCCACACAUUCAAGGAAACCUGGGAACUGAAAUUGGGGGAUUUAGGAAAUGCUUUCAGAAAAUCACAGCAACUUGCCAAACUACAACACCUGAGAUUCUCUGAGCAUUUUUUUUAUGUUAACAUGUAGUUUUAAGAAAAGAGGUUGUAAUGUGAAUAAACUUCUCUAGUUGAGAAACUAGCAUAUACCUGCUCCACGCUAGCCCUUUCUAUAUUUACUGUCAACAUUUUAACCCAUGAACACUACACAUAAAUUUUUUUGCAAAAUAUUAAUUUGAAAUCUUUUUUAUUUCCCCAAACAUUAGUGGUUGUUAUUCCCAAUUCAAGAGGUGGGGACGAGGAGGUGAUGCAAAGCUCAGAGGUGUAGCCUGUUUAAGCAAGCAAGCAAACAAAUAAUAAUAAUAUUGAGACACGAUCAAGACUAAGACUGCACUUGCUUCAAGAACAGCAGAGACUGAGUAAUUUAAGCAGUGUGGGAUGUGCAUAAGAGGGUUUUUU
Molecule: non-coding RNA, 4176 nt
Organism: Podarcis lilfordi (Lilford's wall lizard)
Lineage: Eukaryota; Metazoa; Chordata; Lepidosauria; Squamata; Lacertidae
Source: the annotation of a GenBank genome assembly